Molecule: ribosomal RNA, 472 nt
Filed under: uncultured bacterium
Lineage: Bacteria
Description: bacterial SSU rRNA
Rfam family: Bacterial small subunit ribosomal RNA
Source: RNAcentral
GACGAACGCUGGCGGCGUGCCUAACACAUGCAAGUCGAGCGGAAAUAUUCUGAAGAGUAAUCGGAAGGAUAUUUUAGCGGCGGACGGGUGAGUAACACGUGGGCAACCUGCCCUGUACAGGGGGAUAACACUGGGAAACUAGUGCUAAUACCGCAUGAUACGCGAAGAUGGCAUCAUUUUUGCGUCAAAGGAGAAAUCCGGUACAGGAUGGGCCCGCGUCCGAUUAGCUAGUUGGUGAGGUAAUGGCUCACCAAGGCGACGAUCGGUAGCCGGAUUGAGAGGUUGAACGGUCACAUUGGGACUGAGACACGGCCCAGACUCUACGGGAGGCAGCAGUGGGGAAUAUUGCACAAUGGGGGAAACCCUGAUGCAGCGACGCCGCGUGAAGGAAGAAGGUCUUCGGAUUGUAAACUUCUUUGAUUGGGGACGAAAUAUGACGGUACCCAAGGAACAAGCCACGGCUAACUACGUG